RNAcentral lists this non-coding RNA (211 nucleotides) under Azospira oryzae. The record is from RNAcentral. Lineage: Bacteria; Pseudomonadati; Pseudomonadota; Betaproteobacteria; Rhodocyclales; Rhodocyclaceae.
GGACAACGCUCCGCGUCAGGUGCCGCGGGAGGAGUCCUCCUCCGCGGUUAAACGGGAAACAGGUGCGCGCCGCCAGCAGCGGCGCAAUGCCUGUGCUGCCCCCGCAACGGUAAGGAAGUGCGGGUCCAUCACGAUGCCACUGGGUCACCCCCGGGAAGGCGAUGGAUCAAGACUUCCGAGCCCGGAUACCGGCCUGAACGGAAUUCGCGGA